GGGCCCGCACAAGCGGUGGAGUAUGUGGUUUAAUUCGAUGCAACGCGAAGAACCUUACCAGGGUUUGACAUCCUGCGAAUUUCUGGGAAACCGGAAAGUGCCUUCGGGAGCGCAGUGACAGGUGGUGCAUGGCUGUCGUCAGCUCGUGUCGUGAGAUGUUGGGUUAAGUCCCGCAACGAGCGCAACCCACGUCUUUAGUUGCCAGCAUUUAGUUGGGGCACUCUAGAGAGACCGCCGGUGAUAAACCCGGAGGAAGGUGUGGAUGACGUCAAGUCAUCAUGGCCCUUACGGCCUGGGCUACACACGUGCUACAAUGGCUAGGACAGACGGCCGCAAACCCGCGAGGGGGGAG
RNAcentral lists this ribosomal RNA (352 nucleotides) under uncultured bacterium. RNAcentral describes it as "bacterial SSU rRNA". It matches the Rfam family "Bacterial small subunit ribosomal RNA", at positions 917 to 1267 of the family's 1533-position model. The record is from RNAcentral.